This is a long non-coding RNA of Teleopsis dalmanni, 476 nucleotides long. RefSeq lists it as uncharacterized. Lineage: Eukaryota; Metazoa; Arthropoda; Insecta; Diptera; Diopsidae. The record is from RefSeq and is a predicted model, not a curated record. The transcript has 2 exons.
GCAUAAAUUUUGUAGGGCUUUACUUAGAUUAUGUUUGCCAGGUUUCUUUGCUAUUGUGAGUUUAGGUUUGAAUUUAAACAAUUGAAACAUGUAAAUCUAGCUGUAAUUAAACGUGAGCGUUAUGAUGUUAUGAAUAAUUGUUGAUCUUAAGAUAAUAUAAGUGCACUUAAAAUCUUGAAAGUGAUUAUAAAAGCAAAGCCUAAUUUCAUUAGCAAUACCAUAUAUAAAUAGAUUUGGAAUCGUAGAACACAUUUAGUUUAAUUAUUCACAUUAAGGCAAACGGUUCAAAGUUUUAUUAAAAUAAAAUAGUUUUGUACGUACUUUCGUACUGCUUUAAUACAAAAUGAACAUCUUUUUCCCAUUAACUGCUUUAUUUAUGUUGGGCAUGUUGACAGCUGUUACUGCAGUCUCUGAGCCCGUCUGUUCCUACAAAAAUUCCCAGGGUGAGACGGUAUUUCUGAAAUAUUUGCCUUAUU